This 477-nucleotide ribosomal RNA is filed under the name uncultured bacterium. Its description in RNAcentral is "bacterial SSU rRNA". It matches the Rfam family "Bacterial small subunit ribosomal RNA", at positions 31 to 492 of the family's 1533-position model. The record is from RNAcentral.
AUUAGAACGCUGGCGGCAUGCUUUACACAUGCAAGUCGAACGGCAGCACGGGUGCUUGCACCUGGUGGCGAGUGGCGGACGGGUGAGUAAUACAUCGGAACGUGUCCAGAAGAGGGGGAUAACGCAUCGAAAGAUGUGCUAAAUACCGCAUAUGCUCUGAGGAGGAAAGUGGGGGAUCGAAAGACCUUACGCUUUUUGGAGCGGCCGAUGUCUGAUUAGCUAGUUGGUGGGGUAAGGGCCUACCAAGGCGACGAUCAGUAGUUGGUCUGAGAGGACGACCAGCCACACUGGUACUGAGACACGGACCAGACUCCUACGGGAGGCAGCAGUGAGGAAUAUUGCGCAAUGGAGGCAACUCUGACGCAGCCAUGCCGCGUGCGUGAAGAAGGCCCUUGGGUUGUAAAAGCACUUUUCAAUUUGGGAAGAAAGGUUGCGUGUUAAUAGCACGUAGCUGUGACGUUACCUUUAGAAGAAGCA